UGCGCCGGCGCGGUGGGGCCCGGACGGGAGCGCCCGGGGCCUCGGCUGCUCCUCGGCGCUGCUGGGGCGGCGGGGGCUGGGAGGAGCGGUCUGUGCUCCUGCCCUGCCUCCCUCCUGGCCCGCUGAGCCGCGGGGCUCCCUUCGGCCCGGCGCGUGUCCUGUGGGGAAGCGCCGGUGUUGGAAGGCCCGCUGCUGGGCGCCUGGCGCUCGCGGGACGGCGGCUGUACCGAGGAGUUGUUGGAUCGGGGGGCCCCGUCUGCUCCGUGCAGGCCUUUCAGAUGAGGCUGUGUGAGCUGAGAGCGGGUUCCCUGUUUGUUAGACCCGAACAGCUGAGCUCUGCUGUUAACAGCAGCUGAGCAGAGCUGGAGGAAGCCGGGGAGCUGGCAGGCAGCACGGGACAGAGCUGGAAGGGCUGGAGUCUGUGCCACGUCUCACUGCCAGGAUCUCCUGAGCAUGGUCUCUGGCACGCCUGAUGAGUAGAAUCUCCUUGCCCGAGGUGGAGAGCUCUUCGGAUUUGGAAGGAUCUAAGGUCCCAGGUCCUGCUCUCUCAGGUCCUCUGCUCCAAGUGACAUCAGGACGGAUUUGGAGGCUGCUUUUAGCGCUUUCUGACAGAGGAGGGAGCUGUCAGCUCACCGUUCACCGCUCUGCAAGCAGCGAUGCCCACUUGGGAGCAAGUUAAGCUGUCUUGGACGCCCACGGAAGGAAAAAGUUAAGCCUGACUUGCAGGAGGUGAACACUAGCCUGGAAGCGUUUGAAUCUUUUGCUUUAAGUGCAUGUAGGGGGUGUUUUUUGUCCCUGUGCAAUUAAACCCUCCGUAGCUAGUCUGCAGGAACAGUAGGAGCAGCAGGCCUUGGAGGCUGUUCAGAGAUGGAACAUUUGGCCAUGGGGUCUUGCACUUUUGAUUGCUGUAGCAAUGCCCCCUCCUGCUGCACCCAGAGCCCCUGGAAAGCUGCAGCCUGUGCCACUCCUUCCUUGCUAACAGCUGGAGCCAGGGCACCCUCCUCUGUGUCCGAGCAAUGCAGGCAGCCUGUUUCUCUGGGAUCCCUGCCAGGCAGCAGAAGCAGACAAGCAAAAAGCUUGGUUAAACUGGUCUGAGGUUAACUCAAGCCAACGUGAACUGGUCUGAAGUGGAAUAACAACCUGAUCCCAUCUGCUCUUUCUCCUGGUACAACUCAUGGGGAGCCUUCCUGCCUCAGCCAGUAGCAGUGUGACAAAGUGUGCCUUAAUUACAACCCUCAAAUAGAACACAUUCCUUCAUUAGACGUUGCUUUACAGCUGCAUCAGUCACCUUCUGUCCAGCUGCCCGUGGCACAGCUCCAGGUGGGUUGAACCUUGCUGGUUUGGCAGGUACGUGGGGAGUGGUGGUUUGGGCGCGUGGCUGGGCAGGAUGGGGCUCUGAGUCAGAAGCUCCUGGUGACGUUACUAAAUUCAAUUGACCACAAAGGCCUUUUUCUACUUCAUACUGGAGCUGUCUCUCUGUGGUCUUUCUGCCUUCAGAAAUAUGGCUCAGGCCAUACACACUCAUUUGGUAGCCACUGGAAAAAAGCAAGUAAGAAAAAGGGGUGGCCAUGUUACAUGUUUGUGAAUGGGUUUCCACCACAUGUGUCUCCUGACAGUAAUUAGGUGACUGAAAGUCAAGGCAGUCUGUCUUCUUUGUGCUUCAUUUCUUCAGCCACAGAAAUAAUCCCUGUGUCCAAUGACUUCAUUUUAAAUUGUAGUGAGACCCUAAACUGAUGAUUUAGGAGCACACACUGUCUGUUGUGGUUCUGAUUUUUGUGUGGCUUUGUGCCCAAGGAAGAUGGGUUGUUACCUGAGGAAGGCUAAAUGAGGAGGUAAUACUAAAUGCUACAUAGAACAGAAUCUCUUUUCAUCCCCAGUCAGUCCUCCAAAUCCUGUUAAUCUUUACCCAAGGUACUGCUGCUAGAAACCAGCCUUUCCUCCACCUCAGUGACAGCAUCAGCUCAGUGCUAAUCGUUCCGAGGAGGUCUGAAUUAAUGGUAAAUCUAGUGUGUCUUACACAGCAAUGCCUGACUCACAUCAGCUCACUUGAUCACUUAUUCCAGGAAAAUAACACUCAAAUUUGCCAGAGAACCGUCCCUGACACUGUAAUAUCUGUGGAGUCAAAGCUUUUGGAACUCAGAAUGGCAGUUUCUGGAAGUUUUCCUCUAAACUGGCUCAUAUUGAAAUGUGGGGAUUAUACAGAGAGCUUUGCUAGACUCCUCAAUUUGAGAAGAGUUUAAAAUUCAUCUCUCAGACCCACAGCAGCUUUUGUUCCAGGCAGCUCAGCUUGGACUAACACAAUUGCACAAAAACCUCCCUAGGAAAAAUAAAGGCAUAAACUUGGGAUUUAAUCUGUCCAUUUUAUGCUGAUUUUUAAAAAAGAAUAUUUUUAGCUUCAGUAACUCAGGAAAGGUCUGUAUUUACCUGGGAAAAAAGUUUUUUCCCAGUGACAGGCUCAAGGCAAUCAUUUUGUGUUCUCCUUUAUUUUGGACAAGAGGCAAAGGGUGCAGGAGCAAAUACUGCAGAGGCAUAAUCCUUCCCCUCUCAGGUGAAGUUUCAGAGUUAAAUGGGAAAGAGUCUUGCUUUUAGGCUUCUGAGUUUUCACACAAGUCCCUGUGGGAUGUGUGUCACUGGCCCUCCCCAGCCUCUGUACAGAGUUGGGUUUCUUCAAACAGAACCUUUGCUGGUACUGGAGUAAACACAGAAAAAUGUAGGGGAUGUGCUCGGGGCAAGGGGUAGCAAACUGGAUGUCAUGUCUGUGGCUCUGAGUUGGCUGCUACCUCUGCUACUUCUCUCAGUUCACUUGGCUUUGUCAGGCCGUGCCCCAGGGCUGAAGACCCUCCUGCUUUCUCAGAACUUCAGGGGGACUCUAAGGCUAACUCAGAAGUGCACCAGCAGGCAAUGAGGAAAAGGGGUCAUGUUCUAUGAUUUUAUGUUGAGGUAGUGUCAGAAACUACCUGUGUUUAAUAGCUUUUAUUAUGAAUAGUGUGUCUACUACAACAUGAGGUAGUAGGAAAAGAAAGAAUAUUAUUUAUAUUUAUGAGAAUAUAAAUAAUCAGGGCUUCUGAAAGUCCUUUUGGAAAAGCUCCCCCUCCUCAGAUUUAUGGCAGCUCCCCACAGAUGUUCUUUAGUUGGAGAGGCUUGUGAAGUAUUUUUUCAAGACAGUUUUUUUGCCAGGAAGGAGAUGAAAAUCUAAAACCAAAAAUGUCUUUCAACUUUAAAUUUAGAAUUAUCAUUGUAAUGUAAUUCUUUACACAGCUGCCACAGAGCUUUUUAAAGUGCUAUUUAUAUGUGUGCAUUAGAAACAGGAGCACAACAUGGCUAUAGGAAAUUAAUUUUCAAGCUAGCAAUUAAGGCUGGGACAAAUGUUCAUGUUUGUUGUUGCUUCUGCAGUCACUCUUGUAAAACUAAGGGAGAACCACUGAAAUGAAAGCUCUGUUGGUGUCAUUAUUGCCUGGCUGUUUUGCUUGGUGGAAAGUCAGCUCCUCUCUGGUUAGAGUGCAGUUGUGUAAGGCUCUCAAAAUCCUGUUGAAGUUCCUGAAGCCUGUUAGGGGAUCCCUCAUUAAAAAUGCUGGAUGACAGUCUAAAGUGUCACUCGCUGUCGAGAAUGAGCUUGUUGAUGAGACUGCAUUAAACCCAGCACUUUUUGCAAGCACAGUUUGCAAACCCAGAGAGAUGGAGCGUGGCGUGUUUGUCUUUUCCUUGUUGUGUCUGUCUGGAUGGAAAAUGGAAUAACACUCUGGGUAAAGUAUGUCAUGUUUUCAGCAAGAAAAAAUCUCAACUUCAUCUAGACUUGACGAACAAGAUAGGAGGCUAAAAAAAAAAGACAGAAAUCUGGUUUGUAGAUGUGUAUUCUUGUGUAGCUCAAGGCCAAUAUAAGAUCAUCCUCGGGAUGAAGAAGGAAACACACGAUCUCUACUAAGACAAUGGAAGUUGAAGGCAUGCCACAGGAGUAGAAAUUAAGAAUAUUUCAGUGCAAAUGUCCCUGUAAUACAUUUUUGACCAGGAAAA
This is a long non-coding RNA of Apus apus (common swift), 4011 nucleotides long. RefSeq lists it as uncharacterized. The transcript is spliced from 3 exons. Lineage: Eukaryota; Metazoa; Chordata; Aves; Apodiformes; Apodidae. The record is from RefSeq and is a predicted model, not a curated record.